AAUCCAUAGGUUAAUGAGGCGAACCGGGGGAACUGAAACAUCUAAGUACCCCGAGGAAAAGAAAUCAACCGAGAUUCCCCCAGUAGCGGCGAGCGAACGGGGAGGAGCCCAGAGCCUGAAUCAGCAUGUGUGUUAGUGGAAGCGUCUGGAAAGGCGCGCGAUACAGGGUGACAGCCCCGUACACAAAAGCGCAUGUGCUGUGAGCUCGAUGAGUAGGGCGGGACACGUGGUAUCCUGUCUGAAUAUGGGGGGACCAUCCUCCAAGGCUAAAUACUCCUGACUGACCGAUAGUGAACCAGUACCGUGAGGGAAAGGCGAAAAGAACCCCGGCGAGGGGAGUGAAAAAGAACCUGAAACCGUGUACGUACAAGCAGUGGGAGCACCCUUUGGGGUGUGACUGCGUACCUUUUGUAUAAUGGGUCAGCGACUUAUAUUCUGUAGCAAGGUUAACCGAAUAGGGGAGCCGGAGGGAAACCGAGUCUUAACCGGGCGUUAAGUUGCAGGGUAUAGACCCGAAACCCGGUGAUCUAGCCAUGGGCAGGUUGAAGGUUGGGUAACACUAACUGGAGGACCGAACCGACUAAUGUUGAAAAAUUAGCGGAUGACCUGUGGCUGGGGGUGAAAGGCCAAUCAAACCGGGAGAUAGCUGGUUCUCCCCGAAAGCUAUUUAGGUAGCGCCUCGUGAAUUCAUCUCCGGGGGUAGAGCACUGUUUCGGCUAGGGGGCCAUCCCGGCUUACCAACCCGAUGCAAACUGCGAAUACCGGAGAAUGUUAUCACGGGAGACACACGGCGGGUGCUAACGUCCGUCGUGAAGAGGGAAACAACCCAGACCGCCAGCUAAGGUCCCAAAGUCAUGGUUAAGUGGGAAACGAUGUGGGAAGGCCCAGACAGCCAGGAUGUUGGCUUAGAAGCAGCCAUCAUUUAAAGAAAGCGUAAUAGCUCACUGGUCGAGUCGGCCUGCGCGGAAGAUGUAACGGGGCUAAACCAUGCACCGAAGCU
Molecule: ribosomal RNA, 1000 nt
Filed under: Salmonella enterica subsp. enterica serovar O rough
Lineage: Bacteria; Pseudomonadati; Pseudomonadota; Gammaproteobacteria; Enterobacterales; Enterobacteriaceae
Description: partial 23S ribosomal RNA
Rfam family: Bacterial large subunit ribosomal RNA
Source: RNAcentral